GCCGCCUUCCAGCAAUUUGGCUGCGGCUGCGGCGUUUGCCGUCGCGGAGGAUUUCUGUACUCUGUACCAAUAAAAGCAGCAGCUGAAAGGUGCGUGCCCCACAUACGAGGUCCCACUGAGAAACAAUGUCAGUUAUCUCUCGCAGGCUGAAGAACUUUAAGAGGAUGUAGAAUCCUGCAAAAAAAGGCAGGCUUCAUCCCUGGGGCGGGAGACCUUCUGGCUUCCGUCCCGUUCAGACAUGUAGCCUUCGCUCUGCAAGGUG
Physeter macrocephalus (sperm whale) is the source of this 262-nucleotide long non-coding RNA. RefSeq lists it as uncharacterized. The record is from RefSeq and is a predicted model, not a curated record. Lineage: Eukaryota; Metazoa; Chordata; Mammalia; Artiodactyla; Physeteridae. The transcript is spliced from 3 exons.